Molecule: transfer RNA, 74 nt
Filed under: Marmota monax (woodchuck)
Lineage: Eukaryota; Metazoa; Chordata; Mammalia; Rodentia; Sciuridae
Description: tRNA.Thr
Source: RNAcentral
CUGGGGUUGUGGCUCAGUGGUAGAGCACUCACCUAGUACAUGUGAGGCCCUGAAUUCAAUCCUCAGAUCACAUA